AGGGGGUAUAGUUUAACGGUAGAACGUAUGCUUUGCACGCAUAAUGUUGUUGGUUCAACUCCGACUACCUCCAC
This 74-nucleotide transfer RNA is filed under the name Cavernulicola chilensis. RNAcentral describes it as "tRNA-Ala". It matches the Rfam family "tRNA". Rfam says of the family: Transfer RNA (tRNA) molecules are approximately 80 nucleotides in length. Their secondary structure includes four short double-helical elements and three loops (D, anti-codon, and T loops). The record is from RNAcentral. Lineage: Eukaryota; Rhodophyta; Bangiophyceae; Cavernulicolales; Cavernulicolaceae.